This 513-nucleotide ribosomal RNA is filed under the name uncultured bacterium. RNAcentral's name for it is "partial 16S ribosomal RNA". It matches the Rfam family "Bacterial small subunit ribosomal RNA", at positions 29 to 523 of the family's 1533-position model. The record is from RNAcentral.
AACGAACGCUGGCGGUAUGCUUAACACAUGCAAGUCGCACGAGAAAGUCUUCGGAUGAGUAGAGUGGCGCACGGGUGAGUAACGCGUAGGCGACCUUCCGACUAGUUGGGAUAACUCGGAGAAAUCCGGGCUAAUACCGAAUACGAACAAAGAAGUUGAAAAUAUUUGUUGAAAGAAUGCCUCUACUUGUAAGCAUUCGCUAAUCGAUGGGCCUGCGUGGCAUUAGCUUGUUGGUGGGGUAACGGCCUACCAAGGCGACGAUGCCUAGCGGAUCUGAGAGGAUGAUCCGCCACACUGGAACUGAGACACGGUCCAGACUCCUACGGGAGGCAGCAGUGGGGAAUAUUGCGCAAUGGGCGAAAGCCUGACGCAGCAAUACCGCGUGAGUGAGGAAGGUCUUCGGAUUGUAAAGCUCUGUCAGGGUGGAAAAACGGCGAGUGGUCUAAUAGGCCAUUUGAUUGAUGGUGCACCCAAAGGAAACACCGGCUAACUUCGAGCCAGCAGCCGCCGUAA